UGGACAGGUACAACGUGCCGAGUAAACAUCUGAGCUCUCCGUAGAUCUUGUAUUCUACAGCUGCAACAACAAAUGGCAUACAGCAGAAUCAGCUCAAGGCGAGCUUCCUGUAAUAGCUGCACGUAGAAGAUGUCCUAGACUCCGCGUUAAUGUAUCACACUUGCUCCAAGUAGGGCAAACAGAGAGGAUUCAUCAGUCAUGUUUUGCAAAGGAGACUCAAGUGCAAUCUCCACAACCUCCAGAAAGAGGAACUCACUUCCGUGCCAGCAUGCUUCCCCCUAGCAAGUAUUUCCCUCAAUAGAUCAUUCUCCUUACAUAUAUGAUGAAUUAGGGCAAAAGGAUUCUGCACAAAUAGGAACUAAGGUCCUGAUUCACCCAUGACAUCAGUUUUACACCAUCAUUCAGAUGCAAAGCUGAUAGAGAAUGGUGAGUCAAGCACUUGAUGUUUCAAGUUUGAAGGAUUUGACAUGGAUAUGGAGAUAUGCCCAAUUCUCCUGGGAGUAAGUAAACAAGGUGAAGUAAAUGAUGACCCAAGAACAAGAGGGUAUAAACUUGUCUUGAAUAAAUUUAGGUGGGAAAUUAGGUUUUUAACCCUCAGAGCCGUGGAAUAGCACUGAAAAAGCUCUACAAAGCUUUUCAGUAAGCUUUACUUACUGAAAAUAAACCUUCAGAGGUUCUGGAAUAGGCCUCUAAUAGGAACAGUUUUAAAGAGAGGUUGAUAAAUUUAUGAAGGGGAUUAUAUCACGUGAUUGCUUGAGAGUGCAGGAGACCUGAUGCAGGAACUCAGUAAGUCAUUUCCAAUGCUACUUUCUAUAUUUCUGUAAAUGAUCCAUAGACCAAAGGCUUUCACAUUUCUCCUUAAACUGCUCAUUGCACAGCUUGCAGUCAAAAGAAUUCUACUGGGCAAGUUAUGUUGUUGGAGUUUAAGAGCUCUAUAUAAUGGUUUGUGGCAAGAUGGUGAGAUGAUUUGGCAGGAGAUAAUAGAACUCUACUCUGUAAAGCUUGUUCAAUAAGUUUUAAUGCUGAUCACAAGAAAGGGAAACAUUUCACAUGAGUUAACAAAGUAAAACACAACCCUCCAACUAGGACUGCAAACCCUCCAGGAUCGCCCUGGAGUCUCCAGGAAUUAGAUAUACAGCUCCAGU
Molecule: long non-coding RNA, 1145 nt
Organism: Gavialis gangeticus (Gharial)
Lineage: Eukaryota; Metazoa; Chordata; Crocodylia; Gavialidae
Exons: 3
Source: RefSeq, a predicted model, not a curated record